AUGAGCGCUAGCGGUGUGCCUUAGGCAUGCAAGUCGAGCGGUUCGGCGCAAGCCGGACAGCGGCAAACGGGUGAGUAAUGCGUAGGAACAUACCUUCAAGUGGGGGAUAGCUCCGCGAAAGCGGGGAUAAUACCCCAUAGCGUCCGGCGCAAGUCGGACUAAAGAGAGUAACUUCUCGCUUAAAGAGUGGCCUACGUCCUAUCAGCUUGUUGGUGGGGUAAAAGCCUACCAAGGCGAUGACGGGUAGCUGGACUGAGAGGUCGGUCAGCCACAAGGAGACUGAGACACGGCUCCUACACCUACGGGUGGCAGCAACUAGGAAUAUUGCGCAAUGGACGAAAGUCUGACGCAGCGACACCGCGUGAAGGAUGAAGGUUUUCGGAUCGUAAACUUCUUUUCUCCAACAUAGUGUUGGAGGAAUAAACACCUACAAACUACGU
RNAcentral lists this ribosomal RNA (440 nucleotides) under uncultured bacterium. RNAcentral describes it as "bacterial SSU rRNA". It matches the Rfam family "Bacterial small subunit ribosomal RNA", at positions 29 to 506 of the family's 1533-position model. The record is from RNAcentral.